Molecule: RNA transcript, 272 nt
Organism: Zea mays
Lineage: Eukaryota; Viridiplantae; Streptophyta; Magnoliopsida; Poales; Poaceae
Gene name: serine/threonine-protein kinase pseudogene
Exons: 2
Source: RefSeq, marked validated
GCUUAUUUGUUGGAUGGACAACAGAUUAAAGGCUGCUGGUGGUAGAGCUAAUGGAGAUGGAACAAGGAAGACAAGGACACGGGACCGGCCUAGGGCUGUUCCAGCUCCAGAGGCAAACGCCGAACUGCAAGCAAAUAUUGAUAAAAGAAGGUUAAUAACUCAUGCAAAUGCGAAGAGCAAGAGUGAAAAGUUCCCUCCGCCGCAUCAGGAUGGCGCACUUGGAUUUCCCUUGGGCUGUUCGAACCACAUGGAACCUUCAUUUGAACCCCCAA